GUAAUAAGAUUUUAUUUGAAUGCUAAGAGAAUGGAAAUUUAAAAAAAAACUUUUUUCAAAAUAAAAAUCGAAUUUUUUUUAAUUCCGUGCAAAAACAAUUAUAUUUAUUAAAGACAAGAAGACCCUAAGAAUUUAAGAUUUUACAAUUAAAAAGUUUUUUUUUAAAAUCUUGAUUGGGGCGAUCAAAAAAUAUUAAUAACUUUUUAAAAUUUAAAUUCGAUCUAUUAUUAAUAAACUAAUGAAUUAAAUACUCUAGGGAUAACAGCGUAAUAAUUUUUGAUAGAUCUUAUUGACAAAAUAGUUUGCGACCUCGAUGUUGGAUUAGGAUUCUUUUUUAAUGAAGAAGUUAAAAAAAGAAGUUUGUUCAACUUUUAAAUUCCUACUUGAUC
RNAcentral lists this ribosomal RNA (389 nucleotides) under Hyalomma rufipes. Its description in RNAcentral is "partial large subunit ribosomal RNA". The record is from RNAcentral. Lineage: Eukaryota; Metazoa; Arthropoda; Arachnida; Ixodida; Ixodidae.